This is a non-coding RNA of Cinara cedri, 310 nucleotides long. NCBI's taxonomy places the organism in Eukaryota, Metazoa, Arthropoda, Insecta, Hemiptera, Aphididae. The record is from the annotation of a GenBank genome assembly.
UUAUAAUUGCUUUUAACUUUAUUUAUCGACAUACAUAAUAAACUAGGUACACCGAUGUUACUAUAUGUGUUAACCAUUAUAAUGCAUUACGAGUAAAUGUGUAUACAAUAGCAAGUGCCGAGGAAAGUCUCGAUAUUUUCAUCGAUUUAUACUUAUAUACUUAUGGCAAACUUACACAUAUUUAUUGCGAGGCGGACAAAUAAAACGUUUAUGGAACACCGGCAGUUUUGGUAUACGGGCGCAAAAACAAGUAAUAGGUACCAGCUAUACAAUAAUAUUGUUGUUUCAUUAUUUGUAAUUUUAAUCGCAU